GUGGCACAUGUGGUCAUGGAGCUGGAAGGGGAAGAUGAGAUUGUCUUGAAUGAACCAUGAAAAAAAAAUAAUCUAAAUGCAAGUGUCUGGUAUGCUGUAGCAGAGCAGGUGAGUGUGCUGUGAACCUGAAGGUGUGGUGAGUGCUGCUUCACCAGCUGCUCUGUAAGCCGUGCAGUGCGGUCACACAGACCUUGGCUUUCAUGGAUUAAUGCUGAAAUUUUCAGAAUAUUCUAGGGAAUUUGAACAACUACUCCCAAAGCACUCAUGAGAGAAUUGUCCAUGCUUUUCCUGCCAGAAUGAAUGGAAAAUAUUCUUCUUUUCUGUGUUCUGGUUUACACAGAAGUAAACUUCUUUAGAGCUGGUGAGUGUGAUGAUGAACCUUCCACGAAGCAUGAACUUCAGAUGAGCUCCUUGGGGGCACCAGGGAUAGAACUGAGCUGCUAUUACCAGGCAGACACUGGAUGCUGUAGUUGUGGUCACUGGAGCUGUGGGAUUUCUCCUUCAGCACCACACACUGUGUGGUUUCAAGUCCCUGCAGAGUCUGUUCGGGAGCAUCCAUUUUUCUGCAAGUGCAUGCUGUAAACUGACAAACUCCUGCUGAAGCUGAUGGCUGAGGAUUGCAAAACCUGCCCCUUUCUUGUGUGUUCUGCUCUUGGCUGAUCUGAGGGCCUGGAGAAGUUCAACAGUUCAGUGAAGCACACAGCAACCCCCUCCCCACAAGGGCAAUGCACUGCCCACAUGAAACUGUGAUUGUGAUUAAAACAGAAAAGUGGUAGCUGGAAAGAAUCUAAAUGCACAU
This is a long non-coding RNA of Passer domesticus (house sparrow), 799 nucleotides long. RefSeq lists it as uncharacterized. NCBI's taxonomy places the organism in Eukaryota, Metazoa, Chordata, Aves, Passeriformes, Passeridae. The record is from RefSeq and is a predicted model, not a curated record. The transcript has 3 exons.